GUGAAAUGUCAGAAAUCGGGGUAUGGUGGCCCAGGUGGCCAACUCAAGUGUUCAAGAAUCAUGCAGGUGACAUUUGAAAAGGAAAACACUCUAUCAUUCUAUAUAUGUGAUUAUCACACAGGAAAUUACAAUGUUCAUGGAAAAGCCUACAAUAUCUAAGAAACAGCAAGGACUGAGAAAGAAGAGCAGUGGCUGAACUCCAAUGUCUGAAGAAGAAGGCAGUGACAAGCAGGAUGCCAUACAAGCUUCAGAACAUUUGAAAAAGCUGGGAUCAUUAUACCUGGGAUGACGGAUGCUAACAGCCCAUCCGAAUUCUUCUACACGAUCCAUUUGUCUAAUAGAACUUAUAGUCUAGUGAAGAAGAUGAAUACAUAUGGAUUUGAUAAUGCAAGACGGUAAAAUCAUGCUCCAAUCAGGGUACAAAAUGUCUUGAAAACACAAGGAAAUGACAAUUCUAAGAGGAGAAGAAAGCUUCACAGAAGACCAUGAGAUGCAGCCUUAAGGACAGGUUCCAAGAGAAAAAUAUUCCAGACAGCAGAAGCAGUCUAAAGGAAAGUAGAGAUGGAAAAUGCUAAACAUGUGAGAAACAGGAAAAUAACUAAGGAACUCCCUCAACUAUUACUAUUUUGAAAGUCUCUAAUUAUUACUUAAAUAGUUUCAAUGAAUUCACCCUGAAGAGCUAUUUGAGCUCAGCAUUCUAAUGCAGUGAAUUCCUAAAAAUAUGCAGACGAUUGUAGGAUGGAUCAGUUGUCAUUAAAAAGGAUUUUCAAGUCAGGUGGAUCUUGAGCUGCCUUGUAACUCCUGAAUGUAGUGCUAACCCCCCUCCCCCCACCCCAUUUACUCCCCAAAGGCUCCUCUUCAGCAUUCCUGCCUCAGUAUGAAUGAACUGCUCUAACAUCCUAGGAUCCCAGUGAAGGUGGCUUUUCCACACACAGUGCAAUCAAGAGAAAAUUAUACCUUUUAAGGACUAAUAACCCCAUAAUACAAAAUGUAAAAAUGCAAAAUCAAACCACGUAAAUGUCUGCAGUCUCUACUACAAAGAAUUCUAGAAUUAAAAGAGACCUUAGGGGAAAUCUGUGUCAACAAUGUGACCCACACUAUGUCUAUUGCGUUCUUUCUCUCGGGAAUUUAGGAUCAAGUCUCAACGUAUCAGUCUUUCCUUGUGCUUGGAACCAAGGGACACGUAAAUACUCAGGGGCUGCUGAACAGUCACAUUCAACCAUGAACACAGGAAAGCGGAAAAAAAAUGGUCAGCAAAGAAAGAACAGUGAAGCAAAGAAAGGCAAACAGUAGAGAGCAGGAAAGUUCCAGGUUUUCCAGUCCCUGGUCCCUAAUAAGGUCUGUCUGCAUUUGGCUCCCAUCAAGUUUCUUUCUUUCGUUUUCUUAAAACUAGUUCAUGUUCGUUUCUGUUACUUGCAACAGAAGCUUAAAUGAGGCAAUAACCAAAUCCUCUAUAAAGUCAA
This is a long non-coding RNA of Felis catus (domestic cat), 1463 nucleotides long. RefSeq lists it as uncharacterized. The record is from RefSeq and is a predicted model, not a curated record. The transcript has 2 exons. Lineage: Eukaryota; Metazoa; Chordata; Mammalia; Carnivora; Felidae.